GAACGCUGGCGGCGGGCCUAACACAUGCAAGUCGAACGGUAACAGGAAGAAGCUUGCUUCUUUGCUGACGAGUGGCGGACGGGUGAGUAAUGUCUGGGAAACUGCCUGAUGGAGGGGGAUAACUACUGGAAACGGUAGCUAAUACCGCAUAACGUCGCAAGACCAAAGAGGGGGACCUUCGGGCCUCUUGCCAUCGGAUGUGCCCAGAUGGGAUUAGCUAGUAGGUGGGGUAACGGCUCACCUAGGCGACGAUCCCUAGCUGGUCUGAGAGGAUGACCAGCCACACUGGAACUGAGACACGGUCCAGACUCCUACGGGAGGCAGCAGUGGGGAAUAUUGCACAAUGGGCGCAAGCCUGAUGCAGCCAUGCCGCGUGUAUGAAGAAGGCCUUCGGGUUGUAAAGUACUUUCAGCGGGGAGGAAGGGAGUAAAGUUAA
This 436-nucleotide ribosomal RNA is filed under the name uncultured Escherichia sp. Its description in RNAcentral is "bacterial SSU rRNA". It matches the Rfam family "Bacterial small subunit ribosomal RNA", at positions 31 to 463 of the family's 1533-position model. The record is from RNAcentral. Lineage: Bacteria; Pseudomonadati; Pseudomonadota; Gammaproteobacteria; Enterobacterales; Enterobacteriaceae.